RNAcentral lists this ribosomal RNA (720 nucleotides) under uncultured Streptococcaceae bacterium. RNAcentral describes it as "bacterial SSU rRNA". It matches the Rfam family "Bacterial small subunit ribosomal RNA", at positions 67 to 773 of the family's 1533-position model. The record is from RNAcentral. Lineage: Bacteria; Bacillati; Bacillota; Bacilli; Lactobacillales; Streptococcaceae.
UGAAGAGAGGAGCUUGCUCUUCUUGGAUGAGUUGCGAACGGGUGAGUAACGCGUAGGUAACCUGCCUUGUAGCGGGGGAUAACUAUUGGAAACGAUAGCUAAUACCGCAUAACAAUGGAUGACACAUGUCAUUUAUUUGAAAGGGGCAAUUGCUCCACUACAGGAUGGACCUGCGUUGUAUUAGCUAGUAGGUGAGGUAACGGCUCACCUAGGCGACGAUACAUAGCCGACCUGAGAGGGUGAUCGGCCACACUGGGACUGAGACACGGCCCAGACUCCUACGGGAGGCAGCAGUAGGGAAUCUUCGGCAAUGGGGGCAACCCUGACCGAGCAACGCCGCGUGAGUGAAGAAGGUUCUCGGAUCGUAAAGCUCUGUUGUAAGUCAAGAACGAGUGUGAGAGUGGAAAGUUCACACUGUGACGGUAGCUUACCAGAAAGGGACGGCUAACUACGUGCCAGCAGCCGCGGUAAUACGUAGGUCCCGAGCGUUGUCCGGAUUUAUUGGGCGUAAAGCGAGCGCAGGCGGUUUGAUAAGUCUGAAGUUAAAGGCUGUGGCUCAACCAUAGUUCGCUUUGGAAACUGUCAAACUUGAGUGCAGAAGGGGAGAGUGGAAUUCCAUGUGUAGCGGUGAAAUGUGUAGAUAUAUGGAGGAACACCGGUGGCGAAAGCGGCUCUCUGGUCUGUAACUGACGCUGAGGCUCGAAAGCGUGGGGAGCGAAC